CGAACGCUGGCGGCAUGCCUAACACAUGCAAGUCGAACGAGACCUUCGGGUCUAGUGGCGCACGGGUGCGUAACGCGUGGGAACCUGCCCUUAGGUUCGGAAUAACCCUCCGAAAGGGGUGCUAAUACCGGAUAAUGUCUUCGGACCAAAGAUUUAUCGCCUUUGGAUGGGCCCGCGUUGGAUUAGCUAGUUUGUAGGGUAAAAUCCUACCAAGGCGACGAUCCAUAGAUGGUCUGAGAGGAUGAUCAGCCACACUGGGACUGAGACACGGCCCAGACUCCUACGGGAAGCAGCAGUGGGGAAUAUUGGACAAUGGGCGGAAGCCUGAUCCAGCAAUGACGCGAGAGUGAUGAAGGCCUUAGGGUUGUAAAGCGCUUUUACCCGGGAUGAUAAUGACAGUACCGGGAGAAUAAGCUCCGGCUAACUCCGUG
RNAcentral lists this ribosomal RNA (431 nucleotides) under uncultured bacterium. RNAcentral describes it as "partial 16S ribosomal RNA". It matches the Rfam family "Bacterial small subunit ribosomal RNA", at positions 30 to 507 of the family's 1533-position model. The record is from RNAcentral.